UAGCGUAUAUUAAAGUUGUUGCAGUUAAAAAGCUCGUAGUUGGAGUUCAGAUUGAGCUCGGCCGGUCGGCCUAAUUGGUCAGAACUGGUUGACUCUGUCUUGUUUGUGGAUCCCUCCGGAGUUAACUCUUCGGAUGUGGAGUCCACAUCGUUUACCUUGAAAAAAUUAGAGUGUUCAAAGCAGGCGUUUGCUUGAAUAUAUUAGCAUGGAAUAAUGGAAUAGGACGCUGGUUCUAUUUUGUUGGUUUUGAGAACCAGAGUAAUGAUUAAUAGGGACAGUUGGGGGCAUUCAUAUUUCAUUGUCAGAGGUGAAAUUCCUGGAUUUAUGAAAGAUGAACUUCUGCGAAAGCAUUUGCCAAGGAUGUUUUCAUUAAUCAAGAACGAAAGUUAGGGGAUCGAAGACGAUCAGAUACCGUCGUAGUCUUAACCAUAAACUAUGCCGACUAGGGAUUGGACGUGGUUUGUUCAUUGACCCGUUCAGCACCUUACGAGAAAUCAAAGUCUUUGGGUUCCGGGGGGAGUAUGGUCGCAAGGCUGAAACUUAAAGAAAUU
RNAcentral lists this ribosomal RNA (551 nucleotides) under uncultured marine picoplankton. Its description in RNAcentral is "SSU rRNA". It matches the Rfam family "Eukaryotic small subunit ribosomal RNA", at positions 595 to 1154 of the family's 1831-position model. The record is from RNAcentral.